Molecule: ribosomal RNA, 378 nt
Filed under: Triticum aestivum (bread wheat)
Lineage: Eukaryota; Viridiplantae; Streptophyta; Magnoliopsida; Poales; Poaceae
Description: partial small subunit ribosomal RNA
Source: RNAcentral
AUGAAAAUAAUAAGUUGGAACUGCUGGGGACUCGGGAACGGCCCGGCAGUUCGGUCUCUCCUUGAGCUAGGGAGAGUGGAGGAUCCCGAUGUUUUGUUCUUAGCUGAAACACGGUUGACAGAGAAGGAAUUGGACAGGUUCCGCUGGUUGUUAGGGCUCACUAACAUGACGGCGUGGAACCCAGUAGGGAGGAGUAGAGGAGUAGCGAUGUUCUGGAGAAGGGGGCUUGAUAUAUCACUCAGAUCCUUUGGGCGGAGGCACAUCGAUGUGGAUGUGAAGGAGGAAAACGGGUCGGUAUGGCGACUAACAGGUGUCUAUGGAGAGUCUGCAAUGGAGAGGAAGAAGGAAACUUGGAGAACUCUCAGGCUACUAAAAUAG